Molecule: unclassified non-coding RNA, 290 nt
Filed under: uncultured Actinomycetes bacterium
Lineage: Bacteria; Bacillati; Actinomycetota; Actinomycetes
Description: uncultured actinobacterium contains 16S-23S intergenic spacer region
Source: RNAcentral
ACGUCAUCCCCAGGGGGCCAAUCGUCACUUAGCCAUGCACCACCUGUCAGGGGCCCUUGCGGACACCGUAUCUCUACGGCUUUUCCCCUGAUGUCAAGCCCAGGUAAGGUUCUUCGCGUUGCCUCGAAUUAAGCCACAUGCUCCGCCGCUUGUGCGGGCCCCCGUCAAUUCCUUUGAGUUUUAGCCUUGCGGCCGUACUCCCCAGGCGGGGUGCUUAAUGCGUUAGCUGCGGCACGGAAGGCGUCGAUAGCCUCCCACACCUAGCACCCAUCGUUUACGGCUGGGACUAC